GGGCCACUGGAUUAAGCAUGGAGAUCGAGUGUAUGAAGAUCAGUGUAAAAUACUAAUACAACAAAAUAUAUCUGUGCUAAUCCCUGCUCCUCCGCUGCUGUGAUCAGGCCCAGACUGAGUGGAUAUGACAGGUGGGCACAGUGUGUUUACCCACCACGACGUGUGUGUGUGUGUGUGUGUGUGUGUGUGUGUGUGUGUGUGUGUGUGUGUGUGUGUGUGAGAGAGAGAUUAUAGGCAAGGGGGUGGGGUUAAUACUGAGCUGAUAACAUAGGUAUCACUGAACCCUGACUCCUAAAGAAAUCUGUUCAUCUGUUCAUAUACUAAAAUGCCUAAAUCAUUUCUCUCUGCCAGAGUACCUUACACAGGCAAUGGACACGUUAUGAAUAUGUAUAAAUAUUUAUUGCUCUCGUAAAAAGAAAAUGUUUCACUUAACAUUUGUUUUUUUAAUUUAAGCUAUUUUUUCUGAAAGUUUGUUUUGUUGGAUGUUUUCUUUUCUUCUGUGUGUCAAUAGUCUGUUUUUCUUAUUUUCUAUUUCAUCGUUUGUCUUUCUUUUUAUUUUUUAUGAUUUUGUUUGCCUUUGUUUGCCUCUUCUUUUUUCAUGCAUUGAUUUCUAUUUGCUCUUUUCUUUUUUUGCUUAUUUGUAUUUAGGCUUCUGCUAGUUUAAUACAUUUGCUUGUUUCUGUCAUGCUUUGUCUUACUCUACAUAGCUUCUAUUGAACUUGAUGCUUUAUCUUUCUUUCUUUCUUUCUUUCUUUCUUUCUUUCUUUCUUUCUUUCUUUCUUUCUUUCUUUCUUUUUAAUAAACAGCUGGCCCACCUGUUCAAAGUGAUCAAAGAAGCAGCAGGUAUCAUUGCAUGUGCCUCUGCUGCCCCGUGUGGUGUCACGGUAGUGCACAAUCUUUCAUAUACUUGAGUGUGGUGAAAAGGAGGAGGAGAGAGGGGGGAGAAGAAAAGCAAAAGGGAAAUCAGGAGGCAGUCUUACCAGAGAUUUGCUUUUGAGCUGCUGGAGUCUGGAUGUGUUGCACGGUCACUAAUGCUGUGUCUCUGUUUGUGUGUACAGGUACUUAAGUGAUGAAUCAGCUGCUCUGAAACUAACCUGCAAACUGACCUGGUUUGAACACUGGCUGGGAUCUUUUUAUGUGGAGAUUUGCAAUAUAAAUACACCUGGUCAGGCUCAGGCAAUCAAUACCAGCCGUGGCCCUGAAGGAGAACCCUGACAGCCGCUACUCCGGAUCCAUGCCAUUCCGGCUACUGCCCCACCAUCAGUCAACCUCAUACCACACAUACAAGAUGGAUAGACUUACCUACACAUAAAUAGCAUAUUUACACACGUAGAGUUAAGAAAAGAAAAUGAGAACUGAGCCACUGGAAGAGAACAGUGACGAUAACAACAAAUGAUGCUGUCAGAUACUGUUACAGGGUUAUGUCAAGUAAAAACUGUCUAUAAUAAUUAAUAAUAUGAAAUGUGUAUUUUAUCAGUGGCUCAGUAGCACAACGUUUAGCACUGUUGCCUCACAGUAAGAAGUUUCUGAGACUGACUCCACUAUCUGGCCGGGACCUUUCUGUGUGGAGUUUGCAUCUUCUCCCCUUGUUUGUGUGAGUACUCUUAAGGUACUCCAGCUUCCUCCCACGGUGGAAAAAAAUGAAGUUAGGUUAGGUUAAUUGGUAAUUCUAAAUUGCCCAUUAAUAAGUAUCUGUCUGUCUGUGUUAGUCCUGACAGACUGGCGACCUGUUGAGGGUAUACCCUGCCUCUUCCCCUAUGAUAGCUGGGUUAGGUUCCUCUACCACAGACAGAAUAGAUGAAUGGAUUUUAUCUUUGUCUCUAGUAGUUGAAGUGCUGUGUAUACCCAAAAUUAAUAAAUUACUGUAUUUCAUCACACC
This is a long non-coding RNA of Astatotilapia calliptera (eastern happy), 1879 nucleotides long. Lineage: Eukaryota; Metazoa; Chordata; Actinopteri; Cichliformes; Cichlidae. The record is from Ensembl.